This is a long non-coding RNA of Bos taurus (domestic cattle), 5882 nucleotides long. The record is from Ensembl. NCBI's taxonomy places the organism in Eukaryota, Metazoa, Chordata, Mammalia, Artiodactyla, Bovidae.
GUGAUGGGAUGGGGGCGAGGUAUUAAGCUUGGCACCUUCAUCACAAUUGGUUAGAGUAAGAAAGAAGUCUUCCAUUAAGAGAACAGGAGGGUUAUUAACAGAAGAUACAGGAAAUAGACUGUGGGUAAGCAGAAAGAGCAGAUGUCUACUACAGCCACCAAGAUGGACAUGGAAAGCAAAGAACAGUCCUCCCAUUCACUGUCUUAUUCUGACCAGACAGUAUACAUCGGAAGCGGGUAGGAGGAGUAUAUUCCUUACUAGUGGAUGUAGCUGGUCUUUUCUCUUUUGAUCUUAGGGAUCCUUCUGCUGCUGCUGCUGCUAAGUCGCUUCAGUCAUGUCCGACUCUGUUCAACCCCAUAGACGGCAGCCCACCAGGCUCCCCCGUCCCUGGGAUUUUCCAGGCAAGAGUGCUGGAGUGGGGUGCCAUUGACUUCUCCUAAGGAUCUUUCUAGUUGGUUGAAAAAGACCUAUUUUUAAAUCCCUUCAGUGACCUGUCCUCCUUGCCACUAAUAUCUUCCACAUCUCAGCUUGUUGUGAAGGGAUGGCCCAGGUGAGCCAAAACAGCUAUGCAUCUGCCACUCAGGCUCUUUCCCUAGGCUGCUUCUCAUUCUAACUGUACCAACUCCACCCAGUUCCUUAGGGUUUCUUAACUCCCUUCAGCAGACGUCAGCUACAUACUCUGGACUCAUGAUUCAGCUUGAACUGGGUAGGCACAUUUUUUUUUUUUUUUAAAAGCAAAAAAGAGGGAUACCAAUCAAAAGAAAAAAGAAAUAAUAAGAGUUUGGGGACAUUCAGUAUUGCAAUGGGAAAUUGGGGAACUGGGCUGUGGAGGGGCAUAUUCUCCCUCAGUGCAUUUUGAAUUGAUUUUCAGAGAUAGAGAUGGGCUCUACAAUAAGGGCUGAGUAUUACCAAACAAGGACUCCCUGCCCUAUGAACAGAGAAGCCCAUACUAUGGCAGUGGCUUUCAAGAAAAGAAAGAGCUUUACUGUGAGGUUGACAGGCAAAAAAGGCAUGAGGCAAAGCUCUCAAAUUUGUCUCCCUGAUCCAGGGUUAAGGUGAAAUUUAAAGGGCUAGAGGAAUUUCAAAUGUGGAAGCUGAUUGGCUAGUCUUAGAAUUAGUCCAUAUAGGCUACUAGUCCUGCUGGAAGCCAAGUUUUCCUAAUUGAAAAUUUUCUUGCUUGGUAAAGAGCUCCAGUGGCAACAUUUUCACUCUUUUGAGUUUUGUAGACUGAAGAUUCUUGAUUCCAGGGUAAUCUUGGGGAUGUGGGUUCCUGUUUUGCACAUGUCUAGUGCUGUGUCUCUGUAAAGUAACUUAAGAUCUGAUUAAUCAACAACCUGUGCAGCAAAACUCUUUUCAGCUGGUGCUGUUUCACUUAAUUGACAAGCUAUUUAAGGAGGCAAAACCGGUUCAAACUGGUGCACUUUCAAGAGAGAACAGAGAAGGGAUGCAGAGCUGCUGCUGACUCUCCACUUUGCUUUUUUUGUCCUACAUUGGAGGAAACUGGUGUGUUCAAACUUUGGUCUACUGGAAUCAGUUUGUGGCAUGAAGUCAUGGACCAUGUCUGAUAUUACACAUCACUGCAUCCUUCCAGGAGCUCAGUGCCUGACCUAUAGUAUGAGUUCAUCUGAAGGGAAAUGCUUCACUGAAUGGUUAUAAUUCAGCUCCAAACCUCACUGCCAUUCCCACAGUGACUCAUCGAGAGCAGGAGGAUGCUGGGAAAAUCUUUUAGGCCAUUUGGAGGAGUGCUUGAAUAAGUGGUUUAACACCUGUUCACAGACUACUCACCACCCUCUGACCCUCAUCCACCAAGCCCUUUGGUAUUUCAUGGAAGACUUUAUUGGAGCUGGCCAGUGUUGGGUGCCUUGUGAAUUCUAUGCAUAAUUUAGCAAAUUUACCAAUGUUUGCCACCAUGUGUUCUAGCCCUGACUCUGGGACUUCAAGACUCCAGCCAUAUUUUAGAGCCUUUGACUUUCAUUUGUCCAUCCAGUUCUGUAAAUAUUGACAAAAUGAGGCUCUUAAAUACAGUAAAAUGGGCUCAGAUGAAUAACAAAUCUAUAGUGAAGAUGCCUAAGUCUCUCAGUAAACCUCAAACAAAUCCUGGGAAAGUUUCCUAACGUAGUUUCUUUGUGUCCCUUUCCCACCUCCUAGGGCAGGGCAGAGAACCUGGAUGAGAGACAUGGAUAAAGGGAUAUUUUAUGAAAUCUUUUAGACACUGACAUUUCAUGAAUUUCUUCUUUUGAGUGAGGAAUGGAGCAAGAUUUUGCACUUGCCUUAUUGUUAUUAAUCCCAAAGUUAGGCCUACAAGCAGUGUCCUUGGGGACACAGUUUCCCUGGGCUUGGGGUGUCAAGUCAGCACAGAGGUGACAAAAUUAACUUUGGAAGUCCCUUAAUGCACCCAUACAGGACAGUGUUACUAGUUUUUGUGCCUAAAAUCCUGCAAGUAAUUUUUGUGUACCUUCAAGUAUGAGAACCACUGUGAGGAGGAACAGAGUAGGUGUGCAGCUCUGAGGAAUUCAAACCAACCUGUCUUUAAAAUCACCAUCAAAACCUUAGUAUGACUGGGGGAUGAGCUGGCAUUCCCAAAAUGACCCUGACAGCCUACAGGCUUUAGUCAACCCUGUUUUUAUAUUGAGCCUUUCUAACCUUAAUGCAGUGUUACAGAUUGAUUAUGAUUGCUAAGCUUAAACUAGGAAGCGGAGUCACAUCUCGGAGGACGGGGGCAGGGGAGAGUGGGUGGGUUUAGUCUCCCAAACUUGCAAGCCUGCGCUAAAUUAGACCUUGAUGCAGCUUCACUGUACUCAAGAAAGCAAUGGAAUUCUUGGGCAAACCAGGGCAGUUUGUGGAUAUAAAAUGACUUUAAAAAUUAAAUGCUGUAGUGAAUUCAAAUGUUCAAACUCAGAGUUCCUCAGAGUGGAGGAGAAAUCCCUAUAAUAGAGGCCUUUCUCUCUCCUUUCACUUCUCCCCCUCCAUCUUAUUGUAUCUUCAAUUAUCUGGGUAAUUUGGUCCUGAGGGCAUAAAUUCCUUUAUAACUCAAAUCCAUUAUGCAGAGAAGAGUCAUCAGGAAAUUACUCAGAUUGCAUCCCUGAUGGUGUGAAGGUUUUGGAGCAGAUCCGGCAUCCCAUUAGCAAAGCACUGCUCUUGAAUUCAGAUUUGAGCCUGGAGGCUGGACAUCCAUGCUCUUCCCUUCGCCCCUCUUUGUUUCAGCAAGGGCCGCCUGUAGGGAAGUCCCGUGCUGGUGCUGGCUGGCGGCAGCUUCUCUCCAUCCGAGGCCACGGCUGCUGCCAGCUUCCCUUGGCUGGCGUAGACACCUUCUCUCCAGGCCAGGGAGAGCCGCUGCCAGGCGGGCAGACGUAUGCUUUCAUCAUGUCUCACCAUCUCCUGGAGCCAGGCACCCAGGCCUUUUAAUUCCUGUAAAACUCGGGUCUUUCUGGUGGAGAGCUGGUUUUCAUAUCUGUGGCCUGACGGGGAUCGUCCUUGUGCUGCUGCUGGUGGUCUGUGAGCAGCCUGCCUUUGAGCUGACAGGCCCUCAACCAAAAUGCAAACAUAUUCAAGUUCAAUUUUGGAAGAGGACAUUCUAAGUCUGGCAACCUCUGUCAUCUGGCUUCAUUCUUUCUAGAUUUCUGGUUUACUAGGGAUAUUCAGUUUGGUUUUAUUAUUUGUGUAUACAGGUUUUCCCUCUCCCCCCGCCCCCACCCCUGCUCACCCCUGCAAAGUGACGACUUUGAGGAAGGCAGCAUGUAGAAGGAUCUUAGAUUAUGGUUCAGGCAGACCUGUGUCUAUUGCUCUUUGUGUCUUCCCUCACAAUUAAGUAAAUACUGUAAGAGAGAAUUUUGUGUAUUUCAAUCUCUGCUGUGUCCCCAGUGUCUGGCAUUGUGCCAGGCACAUAGUAGGUGAUCCAUGAGGAAUUAAAGUGCACGAGGAAAAGAAUGGGCUAGCAUGCUGUGCUCUAAUUAGCAGCUUUGUGAUUUUAGGAAGAAUUCUUUUAAAUGCCAUUUUUCAUUUUGUCACCUGCAAAAUGGUCAUGAAAUGUGUAAGACCAUAGAGAAAGUACCUGGCUAGUGCUGUGUUCAACAAAUGGUAGGGUUUCCCUCUUCCAUUUGUCAACCGUAGAGUGAACUCUUCAAGGACAAACACCUAGUUUGAUUCUCCAUUUCCCAGGCCUAGCACUGCUCCUGCACAGAGUGGGUGUUCCAUAACGACUUGUUGAAUGAAUCUAGUCCUCCAUGGGAAGCGGGUGCUUGGGGAUCAGUGAAGUUGACUACUGAGGACAGGCCUAGAAAAGUUACCUUUCUAUUGUGUCUCAUUCUGGUAUCUGUUUCUAUGUGAGGGAAAUGAAUAGAGAAUUCUCUCCAGAUCAUCUGGAUCUAUGGAUUAUGUGAUGAUUUGAAAAGGAAUUUUUUACUGAAAUUUCUUCUUUUCAGUCAAAAAAGACCACUCAUAGGAUAAAAGGCCAGGCCUUGCAGUGAUUUGCUGACCACACUCUACAUAUUUUGGAAGUUUGAUACUUUAUGUGUAAUUUCUUGCACAUUUGUAAUGUUAGGUCACGUGACCCAUUCCGUGAGUUAACACACCUGCUACUGUUACACCCAUUUGACAAGGAAGAAAAGUAGAGGCAGGACAUGGAGAUUUGCCAAAGUCAGACACUUAUUUAGUGGUGCUAAGUUAGAAACUGCAUUUCCUCACCCCAAACUCGCCUCACUAGAGCAUGUAGCUUCUGUGAGUAUUGAGCUGAAAGGAGGAUACAGAUGUUUUGCACUCCUGUUCCCUUUGUCAAUGUUACUUAUUUGCAAAAUCUUGCCUUUUUUUCUGUUACUUGACCCAAGGUCUGUAUCUGCCACACCACUUACAAAUUGCUCCAAUCUCUAUUUUUGUUGUUAUGCCUGACAUAUAGUCACUUUCUCAGCUUGCAGCUCAAUUAAUCAUGCUCGUGUAAUUUUGAAGGGAACUUUUGUGUUCGUUUAAAUUUGGAAGGUGUUGAAGAAUCACUUACAGCUUUCAGCACUACUUUCUCCAGAUAUGACCCAGCUGAGAAUGUCUAUUUGAUUUACUGUGUUAAGUUGUGUCUAUUUCGUUUUUCAAGAGGGGCUAGCCUUAUUAAUUUUAUUCUAUUUGGGGGAAUAAUUAAUUUUAUUCUAUUUUAUGGAAUCUAUAUUAUUUAUAAUUUAUUUAUAUUUAUAAUUCAUUUAUUUAUAAUUUUAUUCUAUUUGGGGGAAUAAUUAAUUUUACUCUAUUUUGGGCUUCCCUUGUGGCUCAGCUGGUAAAGAAUCCACUUGCAAUGCAGGAGACCUGGGUUCGAUCCCUGGGUUGGGAAGAUCCCCUGGAGAAGAGAAAGGGUACUCACUCCUGUAUUCUUACCUGGAGAAUUCCAUGGACUGACUCAUGGGUUGCAAAGAGUUGGAAACAACUGAAUGACUUUCAUUUUCAAUUUUGGGAAAAAAGAGAAGAAUAUAUUUAUUCCUAUAUCAGAAGAUAUUCCUAUGCUGGUAAUUCAAGGCCAAAUUUUUUUUGUUAACCUCUGAUAAAAUAACAUGUAAACUGAAUGCAAAUCAAGUGUGACCUAAGACUUAUUAUAUUAUUGACAAUUCUGGUCCCAUCCAAAGCCACAGAAGAUAAUAAAUUAAGUACUUCUUCACGUAGUAUUGGUGAUGUUCAAUGCAAACUCUUUUGAAGAUGAAAUGGAACAUUUUUAUGAAGAGGGAUGAAUGAAAUACAAUAAGCUACUGUGGAGAUAAUUACUAGAAUGGAGGUAAAAUAGGUACCUUGGUGAUUCUUCUCUAGUGUUGCCAUAGGUAUGGUCAUUUAGAUGCAGCAUGAUGCCUCAAGCUAUAGAAUGCUAGCUCAAGGGUACCAAAGUGUAGACAAUUCUAUACUCAGUUCAUAUG